GUCCACGCCGUAAACGAUGGAUACUUGUUGUUGGAGGUAUUGACCCCUUCAGUGACGAAGCUAACGCGUUAAGUAUCCCGCCUGGGGAGUACGGUCGCAAGAUUAAAACUCAAAGAAAUUGACGGGGGCCCGCACAAGCGGUGGAGUAUGUGGUUUAAUUCGAUGCAACGCGAAAACCUUACCUGGGUUUGACAUGUACUGGAAGACUGGCAGAGAUGUCGUCGCUCGCAAGAGUCGGUACACAGGUGCUGCAUGGCUGUCGU
Molecule: ribosomal RNA, 263 nt
Filed under: uncultured bacterium
Lineage: Bacteria
Description: partial 16S ribosomal RNA
Rfam family: Bacterial small subunit ribosomal RNA
Source: RNAcentral